RNAcentral lists this ribosomal RNA (440 nucleotides) under uncultured bacterium. Its description in RNAcentral is "partial 16S ribosomal RNA". It matches the Rfam family "Bacterial small subunit ribosomal RNA", at positions 338 to 795 of the family's 1533-position model. The record is from RNAcentral.
CCUACGUGUGACAGCAGUGGAGAAUAUUUCACAAUGGGGGAAACCCUGAUGCAGCGACGCCGCGUGGGUGAAGGAAUAAUUCUUUAUUUAAAGCUCUAUCAGCAGGGAAGAAAAUGACGGUACCUGAGUAAGAAGACCCGGCUAACGACGUGCCAGCAGCCGCGGUAAUGCGUAGGGGGCAAGCGUUAUCCGGAUUUACUGGGUGUAAAGGGAGCGUAGACGGCAGUGCAAGUCUGGAGGGAAAGGCGGGGGCGCAACCCCCGGACUGCGCUGGAAACUGUGCGACUGGAGUGCAGGAGGGGGAAGUGGAAUUCCGAGUGUAGCGGUGAAAUGCGUAGAUAUUGGGAGGAACACCAGUGGCGAAGGCGGCUUACUGGACUGUAACUGACGUUGAGGCUCGAAAGCGUGGGGAGCAAACAGGAUUAGAUACCCGGGUAGUC